UUGAACGCUGGCGGCAUGCUUUACACAUGCAAGUCGAACGGCAGCGCGGGCUUCGGCCUGGCGGCGAGUGGCGAACGGGUGAGUAAUACAUCGGAACGUGCCCAGUAGUGGGGGAUAGCUCGGCGAAAGCCGGAUUAAUACCGCAUACGACCUGAGGGUGAAAGCGGGGGAUCUUCGGACCUCGCGCUAUUUGAGCGGCCGAUGGCAGAUUAGCUAGUUGGUGGGGUAAAGGCCUACCAAGGCGACGAUCUGUAGCUGGUCUGAGAGGACGACCAGCCACACUGGGACUGAGACACGGCCCAGACUCCUACGGGAGGCAGCAGUGGGGAAUUUUGGACAAUGGGCGAAAGCCUGAUCCAGCAAUGCCGCGUGUGUGAUGAAGGCCUUCGGGUUGUAAAGCACUUUUGGCGGGAACGAAAAGGACUGUGCCAAUACCACGGUUCGAUGACGGUACCCGCAGAAUAAGCACCGGCUAACUACGUG
RNAcentral lists this ribosomal RNA (483 nucleotides) under uncultured bacterium. RNAcentral's name for it is "partial 16S ribosomal RNA". It matches the Rfam family "Bacterial small subunit ribosomal RNA", at positions 29 to 507 of the family's 1533-position model. The record is from RNAcentral.